RNAcentral lists this microRNA (18 nucleotides) under Corchorus olitorius. Its description in RNAcentral is "tca-miR-3811b-". Lineage: Eukaryota; Viridiplantae; Streptophyta; Magnoliopsida; Malvales; Malvaceae. The record is from RNAcentral.
UUCUUGUUCAGUGUUUAC